AAUAGAUACCCGGGUAGUCCACGCCGUAAACGAUGGAUGCUAGCUAUUGGGGGGAAUCGACCCCCUCCGAAGCGAAGCUAACGCGUUAAGCAUCCCGCCUGAGUAGUACGAGCGCAAGCUUAAAACUCAAAGGAAUUGACGGGGACCCGCACAAGCGGUGGAGCGUGUGGUUUAAUUCGAUGGUAAACGAAGAACCUUACCAAGGUUUGACAUCCCGGUAGCCGUUCUCCGAAAGGAGAAUUUCAUUUAGUUGGACCGGUGACAGGUGAUGCAUGGCCGUCGUCAGCUCGUGUCGUGAGAUGUUGGGUUAAGUCCCGCAACGAGCGCAACCCUUAUGAUUUAGUUGGAUUUUUCUAAACAGACUGCCCUGGUAACAGGGAGGAAGGAGGGGAUGAUGUCAGGUCAGUAUUUCCCUUACACCUUGGGGCGACACACGCGCUACAAUGGCCGGUACAAUGGGCAGCUAAGCCGCGAGGUGGAGCAAAUCCCAUCAAAGCCGGUCCCAGUUCGGAUUGCAGGCUGAAACCCGCCUGCAUGAAGUCGGAAUCGCUAGUAACC
Molecule: ribosomal RNA, 558 nt
Filed under: uncultured bacterium
Lineage: Bacteria
Description: bacterial SSU rRNA
Rfam family: Bacterial small subunit ribosomal RNA
Source: RNAcentral